RNAcentral lists this ribosomal RNA (408 nucleotides) under uncultured bacterium. RNAcentral's name for it is "partial 16S ribosomal RNA". It matches the Rfam family "Bacterial small subunit ribosomal RNA", at positions 28 to 526 of the family's 1533-position model. The record is from RNAcentral.
GACGAACGCUGGCGGCGUGCUUAACACAUGCAAGUCGAACGGAGUGGCGAACGGGUGAGUAACAUGUGGGUGACCUGUCCUGCACUUUGGGAUAAGCCUGGGAAACAGGGUCUAAUACCGGAUAGUGUGGGAUGGGCCCGCGGCCUAUCAGCUUGGUGGUGGGGUAAUGGCCAACCACUGCGGCGACGGGUAGCCGGCCUGGGAGGGUGGACGGCCACAUUGGGACUGAGACACGGCCCAGACUCCUACGGGGGGCAGCAGUGGGGAUUCUUGCACAAUGGGCGGGAGCCUGAUGCAGGGGGGCGGCGGGGGGGAUGACGGCCUUCGGGUUGUAAACUCCUUUAACCAUAGACGCGGUAGAUGGAGAAGAAGCACCGGCUAACUACGUGCCAGCAGCCGCGGUAAUAC